Molecule: small RNA, 263 nt
Filed under: Staphylococcus aureus
Lineage: Bacteria; Bacillati; Bacillota; Bacilli; Caryophanales; Staphylococcaceae
Description: HMPRFS0000_1143
Source: RNAcentral
AAUUUACCUGGUACUUCUUGUAAGUUUAAAGCACCUGUUGAGUCGAUAACACGUUUACCGAAUUUGAAAUUAGGAAUUUCAAUUGGUCUUGAACCUGUUGCAAUGAUUGCAUUUUUAAAGUUAUAUGUUUGUGCGCUCUUUUCGUCCAUAACACGUAAGCUAUUGUUAUCUACGAAAUAUGCUUCACCUUUAACGAUGUUAACUUUGUUACCUUUAAGUAAGCCUUCAACACCACCAGUUAAUUUAUUAACAACUGAUGAUUU